AACGCACCUUGCACCCUUUGGUAUUCCGAAGGGUAUGCCUGUUUGAGUGUCAUUGUAAUCAUCAACUGAAAGGUUUAUUCCAUUCAGCUUGGAUUUGGAGGUUUUGCUGGCUGCAAGGUCAGCUCCUCUUAAAUGUAUUAGCAGUGCUUUGUAGAAUCAGCUUCGGUUUGAUAGGAAUAUCUAUGCUGUCGCUGAGGAACGAAUAGUACAGCUUCUAAUUGUCUUCGGACUGUCUUUAACUAGGCAUACAAUUGACUCUUGACCUCAAAUCAGGUAGGACUACCCGCUGAACUUAA
Molecule: unclassified non-coding RNA, 296 nt
Filed under: uncultured fungus
Lineage: Eukaryota; Fungi
Description: sequence contains ITS2
Rfam family: 5.8S ribosomal RNA (bases 1-52)
Source: RNAcentral